UGUGAAAACAUUCACCAAUUUCUACUGUUAAAAACUAGCAUAGCUGAUAGAAUAAUCAAAUAGUUACAUAUGUGUCCCACAUGUACCUCAUUUUGACGUAUAGGGCUGGUUUUUAACAGUAAAAAUAAAUGAAUUUUUUAAUA
Molecule: non-coding RNA, 143 nt
Organism: Gossypium hirsutum (cotton)
Lineage: Eukaryota; Viridiplantae; Streptophyta; Magnoliopsida; Malvales; Malvaceae
Source: Rfam